UGUAACGGGGCUAAACCAUGCACCGAAGCUGCGGCAGCGACACUGUGUGUUGUUGGGUAGGGGAGCGUUCUGUAAGCCUGUGAAGGUGUGUCGUGAGGCAUGCUGGAGGUAUCAGAAGUGCGAAUGCUGACAUAAGUAACGAUAAAGCGGGUGAAAAGCCCGCUCGCCGGAAGACCAAGGGUUCCUGUCCAACGUUAAUCGGGGCAGGGUGAGUCGACCCCUAAGGCGAGGCCGAAAGGCGUAGUCGAUGGGAAACGGGUUAAUAUUCCCGUACUUGGUGUUACUGCGAAGGGGGGACGGAGAAGGCUAUGUUGGCCGGGCGACGGUUGUCCCGGUUUAAGCGUGUAGGUGUGUGUUCCAGGUAAAUCCGGUUCACUUUAACACUGAGGCGUGACGACGAGGCACUACGGUGCUGAAGCAACAAAUGCCCUGCUUCCAGGAAAAGCCUCUAAGCAUCAGGUAACAUCAAAUCGUACCCCAAACCGACACAGGUGGUCAGGUAGAGAAUACCAAGGCGCUUGAGAGAACUCGGGUGAAGGAACUAGGCAAAAUGGUGCCGUAACUUCGGGAGAAGGCACGCUGACACGUAGGUGAAGUGAUUUACUCAUGGAGCUGAAGUCAGUCGAAGAUACCAGCUGGCUGCAACUGUUUAUUAAAAACACAGCACUGUGCAAACACGAAAGUGGACGUAUACGGUGUGACGCCUGCCCGGUGCCGGAAGGUUAAUUGAUGGGGUCAGCGCAAGCGAAGCUCCUGAUCGAAGCCCCGGUAAACGGCGGCCGUAACUAUAACGGUCCUAAGGUAGCGAAAUUCCUUGUCGGGUAAGUUCCGACCUGCACGAAUGGCGUAAUGAUGGCCAGGCUGUCUCCACCCGAGACUCAGUGAAAUUGAACUCGCUGUGAAGAUGCAGUGUACCCGCGGCAAGACGGAAAGACCCCGUGAACCUUUACUAUAGCUUGACACUGAACAUUGAGCCUUGAUGUGUAGGAUAGGUGGGAGGCUUUGAAGUGUGGACGCCAGUCUGCAUGGAGCCGACCUUGAAAUACCACCCUUUAAUGUUUGAUGUUCUAACGUGGACCCGUUACCCGGGUUGCGGACAGUGUCUGGUGGGUAGUUUGACUGGGGCGGUCUCCUCCUAAAGAGUAACGGAGGAGCACGAAGGUUGGCUAAUCCUGGUCGGACAUCAGGAGGUUAGUGCAAUGGCAUAAGCCAGCUUGACUGCGAGCGUGACGGCGCGAGCAGGUGCGAAAGCAGGUCAUAGUGAUCCGGUGGUUCUGAAUGGAAGGGCCAUCGCUCAACGGAUAAAAGGUACUCCGGGGAUAACAGGCUGAUACCGCCCAAGAGUUCAUAUCGACGGCGGUGUUUGGCACCUCGAUGUCGGCUCAUCACAUCCUGGGGCUGAAGUAGGUCCCAAGGGUAUGGCUGUUCGCCAUUUAAAGUGGUACGCGAGCUGGGUUUAGAACGUCGUGAGACAGUUCGGUCCCUAUCUGCCGUGGGCGCUGGAGAACUGAGGGGGGCUGCUCCUAGUACGAGAGGACCGGAGUGGACGCAUCACUGGUGUUCGGGUUGUCAUGCCAAUGGCACUGCCCGGUAGCUAAAUGCGGAAGAGAUAAGUGCUGAAAGCAUCUAAGCACGAAACUUGCCCCGAG
RNAcentral lists this ribosomal RNA (1649 nucleotides) under Salmonella enterica. RNAcentral describes it as "partial 23S ribosomal RNA". It matches the Rfam family "Bacterial large subunit ribosomal RNA", at positions 1171 to 2803 of the family's 2925-position model. Lineage: Bacteria; Pseudomonadati; Pseudomonadota; Gammaproteobacteria; Enterobacterales; Enterobacteriaceae. RNAcentral also lists the same sequence under 1 other name. The record is from RNAcentral.